This 254-nucleotide ribosomal RNA is filed under the name uncultured bacterium. Its description in RNAcentral is "partial 16S ribosomal RNA". It matches the Rfam family "Bacterial small subunit ribosomal RNA", at positions 524 to 776 of the family's 1533-position model. The record is from RNAcentral.
UACGGGGGGAGCAAGCGUUGUUCGGAUUUACUGGGCGUAAAGGGCGCGUAGGCGGCCACCGCAAGUCGGUUGUGAAAUCUCUGGGCUUAACCCAGAAAGGUCAACCGACACUGCGGGGCUAGAGUGCAGAAGGGGCAACUGGAAUUCUCGGUGUAGCGGUGAAAUGCGUAGAUAUCGAGAGGAACACCUGCGGCGAAGGCGGGUUGCUGGGCUGACACUGACGCUGAGGCGCGAAAGCUAGGGGAGCGAACGGG